RNAcentral lists this ribosomal RNA (420 nucleotides) under uncultured bacterium. RNAcentral's name for it is "bacterial SSU rRNA". It matches the Rfam family "Bacterial small subunit ribosomal RNA", at positions 355 to 776 of the family's 1533-position model. The record is from RNAcentral.
UGGGGAAUAUUGCACAAUGGGCGCAAGCCUGAUGCAGCGACGCCGCGUGGGGGAUGACGGCCUUCGGGUUGUAAACCUCUUUCACCAUCGACGAAGGUCCGGGGUUCUCGGAUUGACGGUAGGUGGAGAAGAAGCACCGGCCAACUACGUGCCAGCAGCCGCGGUAAUACGUAGGGUGCGAGCGUUGUCCGGAAUUACUGGGCGUAAAGAGCUCGUAGGUGGUUUGUCGCGUUGUUCGUGAAAACUCACGGCUUAACUGUGAGCGUGCGGGCGAUACGGGCAGACUAGAGUACUGCAGGGGAGACUGGAAUUCCUGGUGUAGCGGUGGAAUGCGCAGAUAUCAGGAGGAACACCGGUGGCGAAGGCGGGUCUCUGGGCAGUAACUGACGCUGAGGAGCGAAAGCGUGGGGAGCGAACAGG